GAGUACGAUCGCAAGGUUGAAACUCAAAGGAAUUGACGGGGGCCCGCACAAGCGGAGGAACAUGUGGUUUAAUUCGAUGAUACGCGAGGAACCUUACCUGGGCUUAAAUGUAGAGUGCAUGAAUCGGAAACGGUUCUUUCCUUCGGGACUCUUUACAAGGUGCUGCAUGGUUGUCGUCAGCUCGUGCCGUGAGGUGUCGGGUUAAGUCCCAUAACGAGCGCAACCCUUACCGUUAGUUGCCAUCAGGUAAAGCUGGGGACUCUGGCGGGACUGCCACCGUAAGGUGAGAGGAAGGUGGGGAUGACGUCAAAUCAGCACGGCCCUUAUGUCCAGGGCUACACACGUGUUACAAUGGCCGGUACAAAGGGCAGCUACCCCGCGAGGGGUUGCCAAUCCUCAAAGCCGGUCUCAGUUCGGAUUGGAGUCUGCAACCCGACUCCAUGAAGUUGGAUUCGCUAGUAAUCGCGCAUCAGCCAUGGCGCGGUGAAUACGUUCCCGGGCCUUGUACACACCGCCCGUCAAACCAUGGGAGCUGGGGGUACCUGAAGUCUGUGAUCCUGAGCAAUUGGGAAGCGGCCUAGGGUAAAACCAGUGACUGGGGUUAAGUCGUAACAAGGUAACCAAGGGCGAA
Molecule: ribosomal RNA, 631 nt
Filed under: uncultured bacterium
Lineage: Bacteria
Description: bacterial SSU rRNA
Rfam family: Bacterial small subunit ribosomal RNA
Source: RNAcentral